CCUACGGGUGGCAGCAGUGGGGAAUAUUGCGCAAUGGGGGAAACCCUGACGCAGCAACGCCGCGUGAGUGAAGACGUAUCUCGGUAUGUAAAGCUCUAUCAGCGGGGAAGAAGGAAGACGGUACCCGACUAAGAAGCCCCGGCUAACUACGUGCCAGCAGCCGCGGUACUACGUAGGGGGCAAGCGUUAUCCGGAUUUAUCGGGUUUAAAGGGUGCGUAGGCGGAAUGCCAAGUCAGCGGUAAAAUCGCGGGGCUCAACCUCGCUCCGCCGUUGAAACUGGCGUUCUUGAGUGGGAGAGAAGUAUGCGGAAUGCGUGGUGUAGCGGUGAAAUGCAUAGAUAUCACGCAGAACUCCGAUUGCGAAGGCAGCAUACCGGCGCCCAACUGACGCUGAAGCACGAAAGCGUGGGUAUCGAACAGGAUUAGAUACCCCAGUAGUC
RNAcentral lists this ribosomal RNA (440 nucleotides) under uncultured bacterium. RNAcentral describes it as "partial 16S ribosomal RNA". It matches the Rfam family "Bacterial small subunit ribosomal RNA", at positions 338 to 795 of the family's 1533-position model. The record is from RNAcentral.